RNAcentral lists this ribosomal RNA (301 nucleotides) under uncultured bacterium. Its description in RNAcentral is "partial 16S ribosomal RNA". It matches the Rfam family "Bacterial small subunit ribosomal RNA", at positions 509 to 807 of the family's 1533-position model. The record is from RNAcentral.
CAGUAGCCACGGUAAUACGAAGGGUGCAAGCGUUAAUCGGAAUUACUGGGCGUAAAGCGUGCGUAGGCGGUUUGUUAAGUCUGCUGUGGAAUCCCCGGGCUCAACCUGGGAAUGGCAGUGGAUACUGGCAAGCUAGAGUGUGUCAGAGGAUGGUGGAAUUCCCGGUGUAGCGGUGAAAUGCGUAGAGAUCGGGAGGAACAUCAGUGGCGAAGGCGGCCAUCUGGGACAACACUGACGCUGAGGCACGAAAGCGUGGGGAGCAAACAGGAUUAGAUACCCCUGUAGUCCCUGUCUCUUAUAC